AGGAAGUUAUGGGAUAUGGGAGGACCGGCAAAUUAGCAUAGCAAAUCUCAUCUGAAUUUUUGGAUGAUAUUUCUAUUUAUUUUGCCGAUUCCACCCAUUCCUAUGAUUUCCUCUCGUUCCUCUCUUUCUACUCGCCUCUCCCCUCUCACUUAUUCCUUUUUGAGCUCCACGACAAGGCUAAAUUUUCUUAUUGAUCAAUAGAUCCACGAUUCCAGUUCGGUAUGCUUACUAAUAAUAAAUAUAUAUAGUACUAGAUAUUUUUAUCCUCUAUGUUUCAAGAGGAACUACUGUUAAAUAGUUUCUAAACAUUAUUGUGUAUCAUUAUCGCUGCUAAUAGUUACCGCUUGAUCCUUCAUAUUCCACCAUUAACAACAGAAAGGGGACAUCUGUAUUCUAUUUUCUUUUCA
Arachis duranensis is the source of this 407-nucleotide long non-coding RNA. RefSeq lists it as uncharacterized. The transcript is spliced from 2 exons. NCBI's taxonomy places the organism in Eukaryota, Viridiplantae, Streptophyta, Magnoliopsida, Fabales, Fabaceae. The record is from RefSeq and is a predicted model, not a curated record.